UACUGACUAUAAUCAAACUCCGCAUACCAUUAAAAUUAAGCUAUGCAGUCGGAACGUGGGUGAUAACGUCCACGCUCGCGAGGGAAACAACCCAGAUCGUCAGCUAAGGUCCCAAAAUUGUGUUAAGUGAGAAAGGUUGUGAGAUUUCAUAAACAACUAGGAAGUUGGCUUAGAAGCAGCCACCUUUUAAAGAGUGCGUAAUUGCUCACUAGUCAAGAGAUCUUGCGCCAAUAAUGUAACGGGACUCAAACACAAUACCGAAGCUACGGGCACAUUAUGUGCGUUAGGAGAGCGUUUUAAUUUCGUUGAAGUCAGACCGUGAGGACUGGUGGAGAGAUUAAAAGUGAGAAUGCCGGCAUGAGUAACGAUUCGAAGUGAGAAUCUUCGACGCCUAUUGGGAAAGGUUUCCUGGGCAAGGUUCGUCCACCCAGGGUUAGUCAGGGCCUAAGAUGAGGCAGAAAUGCAUAGUCGAUGGACAACAGGUUAAUAUUCCUGUACUUGGUAAAAGAAUGAUGGAGUGACGAAAAAGGAUAGUUCUACCACUUACUGGAUUGUGGGGUAAGCAACAAGAGAGUUAUAUAGGCAAAUCCGUAUAGCAUAAUCUUGAGUUGUGAUGCAUAGUGAAGACUUCGGUCGAGUAACGAAUUGAAUGAUUUCAUGUUUCCAAGAAAAGCUUCUAGUGUUAAUUUUUUAUCAACCUGUACCGAGAACGAACACACGUUCCCAAGAUGAGUAUUCUAAGGCGAGCGAGAAAACCAAUGUUAAGGAACUCUGCAAAAUAACCCCGUAAGUUCGCGAGAAGGGGCGCCUAUUUUUAAUAGGCCACAGAAAAUAGGGGGGGCAACUGUUUAUCAAAAACACAGCUCUCUGCUAAGUUGUAAAACGACGUAUAGAGGGUGAAGCCUGCCCAGUGCCCGAAGGUUAAACGGAGAUGUUAGCUUACGCAAAGCAUUAAAGUGAAGCCCGGGUGAACGGCGGCCGUAACUAUAACGGUCCUAAGGUAGCGAAAUUCCUUGUCAACUAAUUAUUGACCUGCACGAAAGGCGCAAUGAUCUCCCUACUGUCUCAACAUUGGA
RNAcentral lists this ribosomal RNA (1076 nucleotides) under Bacillus thuringiensis. RNAcentral describes it as "partial 23S ribosomal RNA". It matches the Rfam family "Bacterial large subunit ribosomal RNA", at positions 937 to 2031 of the family's 2925-position model. The record is from RNAcentral. Lineage: Bacteria; Bacillati; Bacillota; Bacilli; Caryophanales; Bacillaceae.